Molecule: ribosomal RNA, 414 nt
Filed under: Triticum aestivum (bread wheat)
Lineage: Eukaryota; Viridiplantae; Streptophyta; Magnoliopsida; Poales; Poaceae
Description: partial small subunit ribosomal RNA
Source: RNAcentral
AUGAGUACUAUGAACCCGAGGAACCACACGAAUCAGACCAAGAAGAAGAGGAGCUCCACUUUGGUGGUUCUUGGGGAUACGGGUAUACCUUCUACUACGAGGACGGGAACCCUUAUUACGUCGCCGACAUGGAGGAGAUGUGGGAGAAUCAGAUGCGGUUUCCGCAGACCAUGUCCAGCGCCAAGAAAUCAAGGGGGGGUCUGGGAGGGGUCUCUUCAGGUUGAGGGCCCGUGUCAGCUCGAUCCAGGUAUGUUAUCUGCGCAAAGCUUGUUGCCUCCAUUGCCCAGAUGGGAAAACCGUUGGGUCGACAAAAGAGAGAACGAACCUUGUCGACGAGCUAUCCAAGUUUUUAGUUUGAAUUUAUCGUCACCUCAUGAUGCCGCGUUAGAGGUGUACGGUAUGAUUGCGUUCUGA